AUCAAGAGCUGCCAACAGCUAGGCCCAGUGAAAUGUGGAAAUCACUCAUGUCUUCCUACCUUGUAAUAAGGUUAUUUCCUGGCCUCCCUUCUGUGACCUUUGACCAAGGCCAACCUUUAGCUGGAGAAUGUGACAUUUUGUUCUCCUCUGGCUGACAUGUGAUGCUCUCAUUAUUCAAAGACAUGCUACUUUACUGUUUAUGACUCAACCUGAUUGUUUUCUGUAUACUGAUCAAGGG
Molecule: long non-coding RNA, 238 nt
Organism: Cercocebus atys (sooty mangabey)
Lineage: Eukaryota; Metazoa; Chordata; Mammalia; Primates; Cercopithecidae
Exons: 3
Source: RefSeq, a predicted model, not a curated record